GAGUUGUCCUGAAGCCGUUGACGGCCGCGGACGAGCAUGGCUGCUCUACAUCCGGGGUUUCGCCGUCACUUCAUUUUGCUCAAAGGGUCCUGUGCAGCAACGGGGACGCCAUUGAGUGUCGUUGGCGUGUCGACCACUUCCCAGCUUUCUGUUGGUCUCCCACCCACCAGCAAACUGAAAACCUGCUGGAGCAAUCCUGGCGUAUUUCCCAAUAAGCUGUAGACUUGUGAUUCAAGCUGGAAGACACAAACCACUCAUAUGACCAAAAGUUUGGUUAUAUGUUGGUGGAGACCGCUACAGCAGGCUGGUGCAGGAGGUGGUGUUGGUGGAGACCGCUACAGCAGACUGGUG
Molecule: long non-coding RNA, 351 nt
Organism: Engraulis encrasicolus (European anchovy)
Lineage: Eukaryota; Metazoa; Chordata; Actinopteri; Clupeiformes; Engraulidae
Exons: 3
Source: RefSeq, a predicted model, not a curated record